GCGUGAGGCUAACGACCGUCAAGUCGAGGGCAUGCAAGUGGUGCAAUGGAACCAGAUACACGUACACUGACAGGUUUGGACUACUAUGUUCUGCGGUGACGAUGUGGUGUUGGGUAAGACACCAUAAACUAUUUUCACAGCUCGGUUAAAAUUAAGAUUGAUUGAAUUGGUGAGUCUUCAAGUUUGUGGAGCUGCAGAUACAAAGGCCUGGCUAAGAGUAAUCCUGAGCCAUCUGUAAAAUCAAAAUCAAGAACAUACUAUUUAGAUGAAACCCCACGGUGCUGUGCAAGAUGGAAAUGAUGUUGCUGCCUUGAUGAACCCACGUCUUAGUGACCCAGAUCAACUCCUGUCAUGUUGCUGGCCAGAUGAAUGAACAACCACCACUACCACAACUGCCAAGGUGGACUACUGCCAAUUCUAGGUCACUGUAGUGGCGGCUGUUCAUUCCAGUGAGGGUUUGGAUGGUCGCCUUAAAGCACAAUUAUUGUACACUGGCCUUGAGAAGCUGUUGAUGCUGAUUACUGUGCCACUGUUAAGAGUUCGUGAGACUCUCACCACAGAAACUUUUUUUUUUUUUUUUUUUUUUU
Molecule: long non-coding RNA, 587 nt
Organism: Scylla paramamosain (green mud crab)
Lineage: Eukaryota; Metazoa; Arthropoda; Malacostraca; Decapoda; Portunidae
Exons: 4
Source: RefSeq, a predicted model, not a curated record